GUUAUCACAGUCACAAUCAGAAAUAUUCACACCCUUCACCUCAAAAGACAGGAUGCUGAUGUAGAUGAGAUAUAAUGACAAUAAAUUAGAUUGUUAAACACCAACAGAAACAUUUAUUGGUGCAUUUCUGAGUUAAUGUGACAAACAAAACGUGGAGAUCAGAUGAAAAAUGUAACUUUUCACAUACGGGCAGAAUUAUUCAACCAGCAGCUGCAGUUCUUUAGCUGUUUAACAAACUGAUGAGCUUCAUUGGGAUCUUUGUUCCUUCUUCUCAUGCAGAACACGCUUCUGAUGUUAGCAAAAUAUACCAAAUGCUGCGUCAUUCAUUUUCUGUGUUUAUUUUAGGUUUUAUUCAACCCAUAAAGACAGAAUCACGCGUUUAGACACAACUUUGAUAAAUUCUUAAAAACGUUUUCUGUCGUGGGGGUUAAAUAUUUUAGACUGCAACUGUAUGACUUGUCAUGAUGUGAGAUUUAACUUUCUAAUUUAAGCUCAGCGCACUAACGGUGUCGUUUUCACAGAGGCAGGUGUGAAAGAUGGCCGCAUACAGCGCACAGCUGGAGUCUGUAAGAAACUGGCUUCCUUUCCAUAGGAGGUGAAACGGGAUGAUCUGGGUGUUCCAAAGUACACACUCACACCUGAGACUCCCACCAGGUGAUCACGUCACACCUGAGACUCCCACCAGGUGAUCACGUCACACCUGAGACUCCCACCAGGUGAUCACGUCCACACCUGAGACACCCACCAGGUGAUCACGCUCACACCUGAGACUCCCACCAGGUGAUCACGUCACACCUGAGACUCCCACCAGGUGAUCACGCUCACACCUGAGACUCCCACCAGGUGAUCACGUCACAUGGUGAUACAAAGAAUACCUGAGCAGGAGAGUGUCAGGUUCUGAUUGGCUGCUUGGUCCUCAGCUGGGAAGCUAUGGGUGUCCUGGAGGUGUGGAUGCCUCGUCUGCAGAGCGGUGUGUCAGCGUACGUCUGAUCAACACCACCGUUCCUGCUGAGGAAGACAGCAAUGCUGAACUAACCAAACAUUCUAGCCUACUAGAACCAGAAAUACCCAGAUGACCUGCUCGAUAUCACCUCUAUCCUUGACCCGCGAUGCAGAACCACCGACACAAAGUCAGAAAAGGUGGAACCCUUCAUGUCCAGAGGAUCAGCAGCAGGGCUUGUUGCUCCAUCUGCAGACAAAAGGAAGAAGAUCUGCAGCUCUUCAAAAAGCACAGCAGCAGCAGCGUGGUUGGCAGCGGGGGACACUGAGGAGGAAACCGUCUAGAUGGAGCUGAGACCAGAGGUGGACACUGAUCCUGAUCCUUUGGGUCGGUGGAGAUCCCAUCAGGCGGAUGUCCGCCUCAGUAAUCAUGUGAACCUAUCUGCAGUGCUCCGUCUGAGAGUUCAGCCCUGAUGCAAACACCGACCGUCCUGCAGAGCUGCAGUCAGACCAGAUGCUGUGGACCGCUGAGUUUUCCUGGUUUAAAAUCUGUCAUGGCUGAGAUGCUUUAUGAAGCUUGUCCAUAAAUGAAAUGUGUGAAUAUUGUUUCUAUGCUACAGGAUAAUCCUGUAAGCCACGCUGCACUUUUAUGGUUCGAUGCUAGAACACUGCCUGGCCAACAGCAUUACUAAUGCAACUAGCAUACUCUUAGUUUACUAUUUCUUUGUUUAAAUGUGUGUUCUAAUAUAACUUCAUCCUGAAGCAAAGUCAAUAUGAUCUGUGGACAUUUAGUUGUUUUCAGCCUAAGCUGCUUUUAUAUUUUAAAUACUAGAAUACUGGUUGAGCUUGAAGUAAUUUAUUAAUGCAAGUUGCACCUUUUCUUUUCUUUUUGUUUGAAUAUUAUUUCUAGAUGUUGCUUUAAUGAAUGUUCAGUGGAUAAAGAAGUCUACACGCAGCAGCUCCAGAUGUGUUUUCAAGCUGUAAAACAUGCAGAAUAAAGGGUUCUGGAUUUUAA
Molecule: long non-coding RNA, 1954 nt
Organism: Fundulus heteroclitus (mummichog)
Lineage: Eukaryota; Metazoa; Chordata; Actinopteri; Cyprinodontiformes; Fundulidae
Exons: 2
Source: RefSeq, a predicted model, not a curated record